UCUGGUGGCGAUAGCGAAGAGGUCACACCCGUUCCCAUCCCGAACACGGAAGUUAAGCUCUUCAGCGCCGAUGGUAGUUGGGGGUUUCCCCCUGUGAGAGUAGGACGUUGCCAGGC
RNAcentral lists this ribosomal RNA (116 nucleotides) under Bacillaceae bacterium SAOS 7. The record is from RNAcentral. Lineage: Bacteria; Bacillati; Bacillota; Bacilli; Caryophanales; Bacillaceae. RNAcentral also lists the same sequence under 1 other name.